CCCACAAGAGAAAGCUCAGACCUUCACGGUGCUGACCUUCAUUAGCACAUUGUCCUCAUGCUUUCCACGAGAAUUCCGAGCACACAGAUCUGCAUUAUGAGGAGGACGGCAUUUUUAAAUAAGCUGGUUGGUUUGUGACAGCAACAUCUCAACCUGAAUUCUGAAACGAAUGGGUGGAAGACAUACUCAGCGAGAUACAGUACCCGACGCCCGUUUUCAGGUGGGAGCAGAGGAAACGGAGAAUGAGGGAAGCCCUGAAUCAAUGUCUUUAAACAUCACCGUGGCCUGUCAAAGACUCUGAGACCAAUAUGCCCAUGGCAAAUUGUCAAGACUGUUUUUCUUAUGGAC
Meriones unguiculatus (Mongolian gerbil) is the source of this 348-nucleotide long non-coding RNA. RefSeq lists it as uncharacterized. NCBI's taxonomy places the organism in Eukaryota, Metazoa, Chordata, Mammalia, Rodentia, Muridae. The record is from RefSeq and is a predicted model, not a curated record. The transcript is spliced from 3 exons.